This 194-nucleotide ribosomal RNA is filed under the name Ligilactobacillus salivarius. Its description in RNAcentral is "Lactobacillus salivarius partial 16S rRNA". It matches the Rfam family "Bacterial small subunit ribosomal RNA", at positions 338 to 524 of the family's 1533-position model. The record is from RNAcentral. Lineage: Bacteria; Bacillati; Bacillota; Bacilli; Lactobacillales; Lactobacillaceae.
CCUACGGGAGGCAGCAGUAGGGAAUCUAACACUAUUAACGCAAGUCUGAUGGAGCAACGCCGCGUGAGUGAAGAAGGUCUUCGGAUCGUAAAACUCUGUUGUUAGAGAAGAACACGAGUGAGAGUAACUGUUCAUUCGAUGACGGUAUCUAACCAGCAAGUCACGGCUAACUACGUGCCAGCAGCCGCGGUAAU